GGACCCGCACAAGCGGCGGAGCAUGCGGAUUAAUUCGAUGCAACGCGAAGAACCUUACCAAGGCUUGACAUAUACGAGAACGGGCCAGAAAUGGUCAACUCUUUGGACACUCGUAAACAGGUGGUGCAUGGUUGUCGUCAGCUCGUGUCGUGAGAUGUUGGGUUAAGUCCCGCAACGAGCGCAACCCUCGUUCUAUGUUGCCAGCACGUAAUGGUGGGAACUCAUGGGAUACUGCCGGGGUCAACUCGGAGGAAGGUGGGGAUGACGUCAAAUCAUCAUGCCCCUUAUGUCUUGGGCUUCACGCAUGCUACAAUGGCCGGUACAAAGGGCUGCAAUACCGUGAGGUGGAGCGAAUCCCAAAAAGCCGGUCCCAGUUCGGAUUGAGGUCUGCAACUCGACCUCAUGAAGUCGGAGUCGCUAGUAAUCGCAGAUCAGCAACGCUGCGGUGAAUACGUUCCCGGGUCUUGUACACACCGCCCGUCAAGUCAUGAAAGUCGGUAACACCUGAAGCCGGUGGCCUAACCCUUGUGGAGGGAGCCGUCGAAGGUGGGAUCGGUAAUUAGGACUAAGUCGUAACAAGGUAGCCGUACCGGAAGGUGCGGCUGGAUCACCUCCUUUCUA
RNAcentral lists this ribosomal RNA (621 nucleotides) under Salmonella enterica subsp. enterica serovar Paratyphi B. RNAcentral describes it as "bacterial SSU rRNA". It matches the Rfam family "Bacterial small subunit ribosomal RNA", at positions 917 to 1533 of the family's 1533-position model. The record is from RNAcentral. Lineage: Bacteria; Pseudomonadati; Pseudomonadota; Gammaproteobacteria; Enterobacterales; Enterobacteriaceae.